Molecule: long non-coding RNA, 2373 nt
Organism: Macadamia integrifolia
Lineage: Eukaryota; Viridiplantae; Streptophyta; Magnoliopsida; Proteales; Proteaceae
Exons: 2
Source: RefSeq, a predicted model, not a curated record
ACUUGUAUCUGUCAACAGAACCGUCGAUCUUCUGUUUUACCACAAACACACAUUUACAGCCAAUAGGUCUCUUCUAAAGUGGAAGAGUCACAAGUUCCAUGUAGCAUUUCUUUUUAAGGCACUCAUUUCUUCCUCCAUUGCGGCCUUCCAUUUUUUUCUACAAGAGCUUUCUGCCCAUUCUUCGGGACACAAGUAGGUGAAAGAGAAAACACAAAACCACGAUAGGAGGGGGGGAAAGGGAACCAUAUGAAAUAAACGGAGAUAUAGGGUGUUAAAUACAGGUCCUAGUGCCUUUUCUGAGGGCAAUAGGUUGGUCAGAAGGAGAAAUUGUACCUGAAGUAUGAUGCUUAGUCGGUUCUGCAUCCAGGGUUGGCGAAGGGAUGUGUAAAGGUGUUGUAGUAGUGGUGAUGGUCUGAAGUUGCUUAUUUUUGGUAUGUCCCUAUGAUAAACUUGAAGAGUGGAGUCAUCAAUUUGUCUCUGAAAUUCACCAAUGGUUCUCUGAAUUGGAGUCAUCUCCCCCUGACUUGGAACAAUAGGAAUCGCCCCCUAAGUUGGAAAAAUAGGUUUUGUUCCCUCACUGUCUUGUGGAGUAUGAGGAUCCUGAGGUGAAGAUGGUGGGUAUACUGAUGGAGCAAGCAGAUUCAGAGUCAUCUCUUCUUCACUAGUAAUACCAAACUCCCCCUAACAAAGGUGAUGAAGGUCUGUGAUUCUUGAGGAAGAACGGGAUUGGAAACUGAAAACCUAGAUAAGAAAUUAGGGUCUCAUACGAUGUUAACAGUAAAAAUGUGAGAAUGCUUGUGUGUCUUUAAGUGAUCACACAAGUCCUCUAUUUAUAAUAUAGAAUCAUGAUGGAGAUAGGAGUACGAAACAGAAAUCAUAAAGUAAUUACUAGUAUAACCCCCUCAUCCAGCCGACCCACUCUAACUAAGGUUGGUGGAAGGGGGAGAGCCCCAAUGUGCCCCUAUGACACUUGUUCUUAUUCUAACACACAUACAAGGUGCAUAAUUUCUUCAGAAAUUGCAGGAUUACUAUUGCUUUGAAUUUGGAAUUAUUCAAUUUUGUGGCGCCAUAAUGAUCCAAUAUUAAGGUUUUCGGAACCCAGGAUUGCAUCAAUGUAGCUUACUAUAGUCAAAACAGGGAGAAUAAUUCUUUUGGCCUGCAAGGGAUAUUUGUUAGUCAAUCAUAUUAGUCCCUCAUAAAUUUUGAGUGGAAAAAUCCCUUUCCUCUUAUACCUAUGAUCACUUCCUCUUAUAAGAUCGGUCUUUUGAGAUGGAAAUUUACCAUAUUUGGUAACCGUUGCUCCAAACCUAUUUUAUUCCUCUGAUGACUAGGCACUAAGUUUCAGAUCGUACCCUGCAAAACUUUUAAACUGUUAUAUUUGAAUUGGAUUUUAAGUAGUGUAGUACUUUUUUCAGAAAUUUCUCUCAUGAUUCACUUUCAAUGACUGUUCAAUUUGUGAAUAUUGCUGUGAUUAGAACCAAAAUUUUCUACAGUUCUCGGGAUCUAAUUCUAUUCUUAAUAUUUUCUUCUCAACGAUCUGUUCAUUUUUAAGUUGCUUAUCUGCUCUUCUCUACGCAUAAUGUAGAAAAUAUGUUACCCAUUCUUAAGCCUGCUAGAGGUAGAAUCUCAUUCAUUUAACUUUGAUGGUGGGAAGCAGUUCCUGUUGAGGCCAUAGUAAUGGAUGUAAAUUUAGAUUUAACUUAUCUUUUUGUGUACAUCUGUCCUACGAGGUAAAAAUUUUAAAUAUUCCUUAGAAUUUUGAGUGAAAAAAUUUAGUUAUUUAUGGUUCGAAGUGAAGAAUAACUAUGAUAAGUCCUGUUCUAUUGAACAGUGCAGUUCCAACACAGCUCAUGCAAAUGAAAAUGUUGUAUUGGUUCUGAGUGAGCAGGCCAUUGUUUGUUUGCAGGCUAAGGUCACCUUUUCACAGGCUUUGUAUUCUGCAAUAGUGGAGCAAUACAAUGUGCUCAAAUCUGCCAUACAUGGCAAUCAAGGACUGAUGGCUUCAAACUCAGCAAUCAAAUUGUCACAACCAUGGUUAUAGUAGUAGUAGGCUACUGCCAGUUACCUCCUAUUAUCAGACAACAAAUUUUGUUUGCACCUGUUGUAUAAUAAUCAUUGGCUGAUUAAGAACAUACAUUGUUUGUCCAUCAAGAUUGCAUUCACUCGGAUGCCCCUUAUAUUCACCAAAGCCCAAUCCAGACCCCCCAGGGAAAGAAAUCACCAGGAAAUAAAGCUGGCUAUGAGUAGGCUCGGCUAUCUACCACUCACGUUCUUCAAUAUUCUGAACAGUGAAGACACAGCAUUGUUGACGUUCAUCUGGCCAUGUAUAACUUUCAAAAUAGCAUCAAUAUGUUUGUAAUUUCUUUCUUGUCA